AGGCACAAUAAACAUAAAAAAAAAAGUUUUAUUGCAAAAUAACUGUAUACAAACACAUUUCAAUUAUUUCAAGGUUAAUGUUAUGACAUUUGCAAUGAUUAAAACACAAUAUGUCAAUAAAACAAAGUAAUGUAAAAUAUUUGUGGUUUUUAUAUAAACAUGUAUAUACCGGCUUAUCCAACACGUUGAAUAUAUUAAUCGACAAAACUGUGUCAUUGUGUAUCCUUAAAUGCUUUAAAUAUA
Molecule: long non-coding RNA, 243 nt
Filed under: Mytilus galloprovincialis (Mediterranean mussel)
Lineage: Eukaryota; Metazoa; Mollusca; Bivalvia; Mytilida; Mytilidae
Source: RNAcentral